This 1435-nucleotide ribosomal RNA is filed under the name Wallemia sebi. Its description in RNAcentral is "eukaryotic LSU rRNA". It matches the Rfam family "Eukaryotic large subunit ribosomal RNA", at positions 32 to 1453 of the family's 3401-position model. The record is from RNAcentral. Lineage: Eukaryota; Fungi; Basidiomycota; Wallemiomycetes; Wallemiales; Wallemiaceae.
ACUUAAGCAUAUCAAUAAGCGGAGGAAAAGAAACUAACAAGGAUUCCCCUAGUAACGGCGAGUGAAGAGGGAAAAGCUCAAAUUUAAAAGCUGUUGUCUUUCAGGCAACCGCAUUGUAAUCUCAAGAAGUGUUUUCGAUUGUAGCCUGCGUAUAAGUACCUUGGAAUAGGUUGGCAUAGAGGGUGAAACUCCCGUCUUUGAUGCAGAUUACUAUGAUCAUGUGAUACACUUUCUAAGAGUCGAGUUGUUUGGGAAUGCAGCUCAAAAUGGGUGGUAAAUUCCAUCUAAAGCUAAAUAUUGGCCUGAGACCGAUAGCGAACAAGUACCGUGAGGGAAAGAUGAAAAGCACUUUGGAAAGAGAGUCAAACAGAACGUGAAAUUGCUGAAAGGGAAGCGUUUGAAGUUAGUCUGAUAGGAGUUGUUCAAUUGUUACUUUGGUUUCAAUGUAUGCAACUUUUUAUCGGUCAACAUCAAUUUUGAUUGAUGGAUAAAGGUAAUAGGAAUGUGGCUACAAUUUGUAGUGUUAUAGCCUAUUAUCAUAAACAUUGAUUGAGAUUGAGGACGGCAGUGUACCUUUUAGGAAGGUGUUCGCACCUAUUACACUAAGGAUGUUGACAAAAUAGCUUUAAGCGACCCGUCUUGAAACACGGACCAAGGAGUCUAACAUAUCUGCGAGUAUUUGAGUGACAAACUCGAAUGCGUAAUGAAAGUGAAUGUAGGUGUGAAGCGUAAGCUGCAACAUCGACCGAUCUGGAAUUUUUAUAAUGAUGGAUUUGAGUAAGAGCAUAUAUGUUGGGACCCGAAAGAUGGUGAACUAUGCCUGAAUAGGGUGAAGCCAGAGGAAACUCUGGUGGAGGCUCGUAGCGGUUCUGACGUGCAAAUCGAUCGUCAAAUUUGGGUAUAGGGGCGAAAGACUAAUCGAACCAUCUAGUAGCUGGUUCCUGCCGAAGUUUCCCUCAGGAUAGCAGACACUUGUAUCAGUUUUAUGUGGUAAAGCGAAUGAUUAGAGGCCUAGGGGAUGAAACAUCCUUUACCUAUUCUCAAACUUUAAAUAUGUAAGAGGCUCUUGUUACUUUAUUGAACUUGAGCAACGAAUGAAAGUGUCUAGUGGGCCAUUUUUGGUAAGCAGAACUGGCGAUGCGGGAUGAACCGAUCGUGGGGUUAAGGUGCCGGAAUAUACGCUCAUCAGACACCACAAAAGGUGUUAGUUCAUCUAGACAGCAGGACGGUGGCCAUGGAAGUCGGAAUCCGCUAAGGAGUGUGUAACAACUCACCUGCCGAAUGAACUAGCCCUGAAAAUGGAUGGCGCUUAAGCGUAUUACCCAUACCCCACCGUUAAUGAUUUUAGUGAUUCAUUAACGAGUAGGCAGGCGUGGAGAUUGUAUAGAAGCUUUGACAGUGAUGUUGAGUGGAACAGUCUCUAGUGCAGAUCUUG